RNAcentral lists this microRNA precursor (114 nucleotides) under Oryza brachyantha (malo sina). RNAcentral describes it as "mir-156 microRNA precursor family". It matches the Rfam family "mir-156 microRNA precursor family". Rfam says of the family: This family represents the plant microRNA (miRNA) precursor mir-156. Animal miRNAs are transcribed as ~70nt precursors and subsequently processed by the Dicer enzyme to give a ~22nt product. Lineage: Eukaryota; Viridiplantae; Streptophyta; Magnoliopsida; Poales; Poaceae. The record is from Rfam by way of RNAcentral.
CUGACAGAAGAGAGUGAGCACACAUGGUGACUUUCUUGCAUGCUGAAUGAAUGAGAUCAGAGAGAGGAAUGAUUCAUGCUUGAAGCUAUGUGUGCUCACUUCUCUCUCUGUCAG